Molecule: long non-coding RNA, 503 nt
Filed under: Ursus americanus (American black bear)
Lineage: Eukaryota; Metazoa; Chordata; Mammalia; Carnivora; Ursidae
Description: lncRNA (ENSUAMG00000003377.1)
Source: RNAcentral
CAGCCGAGGGUGGGUAGGACACUAGGACCGGCCAGCUGUGUUUGUUUCAUCAGGAGCUGCUUGGAAGUGGACACUUUCAGUUUCCCUUUAGGUCCUUAUUUUUGGGCUCCGGGAGUGGUUACCACACAGACUCGCAGCCGGGUCCUCCAAGGACGGCAGGAGUCUGAUGUGGCUUCGGAGUGAGCUGGAGUGAGGGGUAAAGCGACACCACCUUCCAGGCGGGACGCGGACGCGAGCUGUAGGGAAGACUGUCAGAUCCCACUGCUGGCACCAUGACCUCAGGAGCACAUGGGCUCAGCCCAGAGAGCGAAGCACUUGUCGAGGAAGUCAUUGAGUGUUUCCAGAACUCAGUGAGCCGAGAGGAACUGCACUUCUUGCUGACCAACCAUGAAGCCUGGGAGAGAUUCGUGGCUAAGGCCACGUUGUCCAGGUAACGGCCUAGGGAUGCCCCGGGACGGUCACCCAGGUCUGUGCGGGGUAGUAUCCUGGGCUUGGGGUUGAGU